UGGGGAAUUUUGGACAAUGGGCGAAAGCCUGAUCCAGCAAUGCCGCGUGUGUGAAGAAGGCCUUCGGGUUGUAAAGCACUUUUGUCCGGAAAGAAAUCCUUGGCUCUAAUACAGUCGGGGGAUGACGGUACCGGAAGAAUAAGCACCGGCUAACUACGUGCCAGCAGCCGCGGUAAUACGUAGGGUGCAAGCGUUAAUCGGAAUUACUGGGCGUAAAGCGUGCGCAGGCGGUUUGCUAAGACCGAUGUGAAAUCCCCGGGCUCAACCUGGGAACUGCAUUGGUGACUGGCAGGCUAGAGUAUGGCAGAGGGGGGUAGAAUUCCACGUGUAGCAGUGAAAUGCGUAGAGAUGUGGAGGAAUACCGAUGGCGAAGGCAGCCCCCUGGGCCAAAUACUGACGCUCAUGCACGAAAAGCGUGGGGAGCAAAACAGGAUUAGAUACCCUGGUAGUCCACGCCCUAAAACGAUGUCAACUAGUUGUUGGGGAUUCAUUUCCUUAGUAACGUAGCUAACGCGUGAAGUUGACCGCCUGGGGAGUACGGUCGCAAGAUUAAAACUCAAAGGAAUUGACGGGGUCAUAGCUG
This 583-nucleotide ribosomal RNA is filed under the name uncultured bacterium. Its description in RNAcentral is "partial 16S ribosomal RNA". It matches the Rfam family "Bacterial small subunit ribosomal RNA", at positions 355 to 932 of the family's 1533-position model. The record is from RNAcentral.